Molecule: ribosomal RNA, 801 nt
Filed under: Nocardia asteroides
Lineage: Bacteria; Bacillati; Actinomycetota; Actinomycetes; Mycobacteriales; Nocardiaceae
Description: bacterial SSU rRNA
Rfam family: Bacterial small subunit ribosomal RNA
Source: RNAcentral
GAGCGGUAAGGCCCUUCGGGGUACACGAGCGGCGAACGGGUGAGUAACACGUGGGUGAUCUGCCUCGUACUUCGGGAUAAGCCUGGGAAACUGGGUCUAAUACCGGAUAUGACCUUCGGAUGCAUGUCCGUGGGUGGAAAGAUUUAUCGGUACGAGAUGGGCCCGCGGCCUAUCAGCUUGUUGGUGGGGUAAUGGCCUACCAAGGCGACGACGGGUAGCCGGCCUGAGAGGGCGACCGGCCACACUGGGACUGAGACACGGCCCAGACUCCUACGGGAGGCAGCAGUGGGGAAUAUUGCACAAUGGGCGGAAGCCUGAUGCAGCGACGCCGCGUGAGGGAUGACGGCCUUCGGGUUGUAAACCUCUUUCGACAGGGACGAAGCGCAAGUGACGGUACCUGUAGAAGAAGCACCGGCCAACUACGUGCCAGCAGCCGCGGUAAUACGUAGGGUGCGAGCGUUGUCCGGAAUUACUGGGCGUAAAGAGCUUGUAGGCGGUUCGUCGCGUCGUUCGUGAAAACUUGGGGCUCAACCCCAAGCUUGCGGGCGAUACGGGCGGACUAGAGUACUUCAGGGGAGACUGGAAUUCCUGGUGUAGCGGUGAAAUGCGCAGAUAUCAGGAGGAACACCGGUGGCGAAGGCGGGUCUCUGGGAAGUAACUGACGCUGAGAAGCGAAAGCGUGGGUAGCGAACAGGAUUAGAUACCCUGGUAGUCCACGCCGUAAACGGUGGGUACUAGGUGUGGGUUUCCUUCCACGGGAUCCGUGCCGUAGCUAACGCAUUAAGUACCCCGCCUGGGGAG